UGAUGGGAUUCAUCCCAGAGUUCUGAAGGUUCUGGCGGAUGUUAUGGCAGGACCUCUCUUGACCACCUACUAAAGGUCUUGGAUGUCUGGGGAGGUUCCAACUGAUUGGAAAUUGGCCAGUGUUAUUUCUAUCCACAAAAAGAGCAAGGGAAAACACAGGAAAUAAAAGACUAAUUUUAUUAGUAUAAAGAAGAGAAUGAUUUUAUUCUAUCUUCAGUUUCUGUAAAAAAACACUGUAGAAGAUUAUUCUGGGUACUACUGAAAGGCAUUUGAAGAGUAAUGUAAUCAUCAGUCACAAUCUACAUGGGAUCACAAAGAGAAAUUCCUAUUUAACUAUAAUUUGAUAUUGUUCUAUGACAAGGUCAUCCAUCUCAUGUAUGAAGAGGAUGCAGUGGAUGUAGAGUUCUGGAUUUUGCCUGUGAGGAAAAUAAAGCUUAUCAAAAUGGAUGCUUAUCAGAAGUGACGAAUCAUAGUGGAUGAAGGGAAUACAGUUAUGUUAAAUUCUGAUAUGACAAGAACACAGGAUUUUUUCAGGAGCUAAUCUGAAAAACUACUUCCUAGAAUAAUCACAUCGACCCGUCUUGUGUAUCCGUGGUGUGUGCUGUGACAGAAAAACACCUCUUCCAAAAACUCUCCUCUUUUCCCGCUAGAGGGAGGACUCUCCCAAAAUACUCAUGGGAGACUGUUCCCCUGACUGAGACUCUUCAACUCUAAACAAACCUUUCUGGGAAUGUUUUCAUCUAAUGGUAAGGACUGUCCUGCAAUGAAGUUAUA
This is a non-coding RNA of Cyanistes caeruleus (blue tit), 774 nucleotides long. The record is from RefSeq and is a predicted model, not a curated record. NCBI's taxonomy places the organism in Eukaryota, Metazoa, Chordata, Aves, Passeriformes, Paridae.